Molecule: ribosomal RNA, 404 nt
Filed under: Fusobacteriota bacterium
Lineage: Bacteria; Fusobacteriati; Fusobacteriota
Description: Fusobacteria bacterium partial 16S ribosomal RNA
Rfam family: Bacterial small subunit ribosomal RNA
Source: RNAcentral
UGGGGAAUAUUGCACAAUGGAGGGAACUCUGAUGCAGCGACGCCGCGUGAGUGAUGAAGGAAUUCGUUUCGUAAAACUCUGUUCUAUGGGAAGAAAAGGACUGUACCAUAGGAGAAAGCUCCGGCUAAAUACGUGCCAGCAGCCGCGGUAAUACGUAUGGAGCGAGCGUUGUCCGGAAUUAUUGGGCGUAAAGGGUGCGCAGGCGGCUUUACAAGUUGGAUGUGAAAUAUUGUGGCUCAACCACAAACGUGCAUCCAAAACUGCAAAGCUUGAGUUAAGGAGAGGUAAGUGGAAUUCCUGGUGUAGCGGUGAAAUGCGUAGAUAUCAGGAGGAAUACCGGUGGCGAAGGCGACUUACGGGACUUAAACUGACGCUCAGGCACGAAAGCGUGGGGAGCAAACAGG